This 253-nucleotide ribosomal RNA is filed under the name uncultured bacterium. Its description in RNAcentral is "partial 16S ribosomal RNA". It matches the Rfam family "Bacterial small subunit ribosomal RNA", at positions 524 to 776 of the family's 1533-position model. The record is from RNAcentral.
UACGUAGGGUGCGAGCGUUAAUCGGAAUUACUGGGCGUAAAGCGUGCGCAGGCGGUUUAUCAAGACAGGCGUGAAAUCCCCGGGCUCAACCUGGGAACUGCGCUUGUGACUGGUAGGCUAGAGUGUGGCAGAGGGGGGUGGAAUUCCACGUGUAGCAGUGAAAUGCGUAGAGAUGUGGAGGAACACCGAUGGCGAAGGCAGCCCCCUGGGCUAACACUGACGCUCAUGCACGAAAGCGUGGGGAGCAAACAGG